RNAcentral lists this long non-coding RNA (559 nucleotides) under Cicer arietinum (chickpea). Its description in RNAcentral is "long non-coding RNA (CARI_LNC003715)". Lineage: Eukaryota; Viridiplantae; Streptophyta; Magnoliopsida; Fabales; Fabaceae. The record is from RNAcentral.
AACAAUGUAUCAUUGAGCAAAUGAGGCACAUCUUCAAUUACAACGUUCCACUCAGUAAAGUUCAAUGGAAGAUGCACACGCUGAUUCAACAAAGUAAGGAAAUGACUGAAAGCUAAGGUAGUCACACAACCCACGUUACAUUCAAUUUCCUCCUCAAAGCCUUGGAGAACAAUAUUUACAAUCUGAGACAAACAACAAACGUCAAUAAUAAAAUAAUAAUUAUUACUAAUUAAACAAUAUAAUUAUAAACAAACAGUAUUAUUAUUACCCAACCACGGUUGAUCUCGAAUUCACUCGGAUUAUCAACGAUCAUAUCAGGUUGACGAACUUCAGCAUCAUCGUGUUGAGGUGAGUGAGGAUGAGGAACGACAAUUUCAAAAGGAACUAUUGCUUGAUGAUCCUCUUGAAGUGGAGGAGGAUGAGGAACGACAAGAGGAACUAUUGCUUGAUGAGAACGACUAUGUGAUUUUCUUCUUGUUCUUCUUCUGCUUUGAAAAUAUGGAGGAGAAAAGCGAUGCACCGGAUUUCUAUUCCUCUGCACCCUUUCAACCCUUGCNNN